RNAcentral lists this long non-coding RNA (809 nucleotides) under Homo sapiens (human). RNAcentral describes it as "HSALNT0167506". The record is from RNAcentral. Lineage: Eukaryota; Metazoa; Chordata; Mammalia; Primates; Hominidae.
GGGUGACAGAGCAAGAUUCCCUCUCAAAACAAACAAAAAACAAAACAAACAAAAAAACAAACAAACUCCACAGUGGAUCAUGCUCCCUAAAGUGGCAUGAACUUCCAACGCUGGCUUAGUGACAUAUUAGGUAGAAUAUGCUUUGUUAAUGAUGGCAGCUAUGCCAGAUUGACUGAGGCUGUGAGGGUGUUUCAUUUUGCUCUUCUCUUUGUACCUUAGGUAACUGGCUGUCUGCAAGAUCAUGGUUUUUCACCAAACAUCUCCUCCUCAUAAAAGUACACUAAUUUCACUGACAGAAACGAAAAUCAACGGCAAGCGGGCUCCUUGAGUGCGGGGGAUGCCCCUCAACAAGCCAUAACAGCCUGACUGUCGACCAACAGCCAAAGGAAGAAGCCAAGGUCAGGAGCAUCAGGUGCGGUUAGUGCCAGCGCACACACACAGGUGCCCCACGUCUCCCUCUCCCACUCAACUACCCCAAGGAAUGUGGGGAACAAAGAGGGUCGAGACUGGAAAUAAGAGCAGGGCAUGUGCACACAUCAACAUGCUAAUUUAAAAAAAAAAAGUAAUGUUCAAAAGUAUUUACAAAGACAGCAAUUUUAUUUUAAAUAACAAAAACAAAAAUUACUGACUGAAGGGUGCUAUCCUACAACUGGACUCUAUGAUAUCUCAGAAGCAGAGUAGGAGAUUUAGUUUUAGUUUUCUUUUUUUUUAAUUUAAAUUUUUUUUUUUUUUGAGAAGGAGUCUCACUCUGUCACCCAGGCUGGAGUGCAGUGACGCAAUCUCGGCUCACUGCAACCGCCACCUCCCGG